AUUGAACGCUGGCGGCAGGCCUAACACAUGCAAGUCGAACGGUAACAGGAAGAAGCUUGCUUCUUUGCUGACGAGUGGCGGACGGGUGAGUUAUGACUGGGAAACUGCCUGAUGGAGGGGGAUAACUACUGGAAACGGUUGCUACUACCGCAUAACGUCGCAAGACCAAAGAGGGUGACCUUCGGGCCUCUCGCCAUCGGAUGUGCCCAGAUGGGUUUAGCUGGUGGGUGGGGUAACGGCUCACCUAGGCGACGACCCCUAGCUGGUCUGAGAGAAUGACAAGCCACACUGAAACUGAGAAAGGGUCCAAACUCCUAGGGAAGGCGGCGGGGGGAAAUAUUGAACAAGGGGGGAAGGCCUGAUGCAGCCAUGCGGCGUGUAUGAAGAAGGCCUUCGAGUUGUAAACUACUUUCAGCGGGGAGAAAGGGAGUAAGGUUAAAACCUGUGCUCAUUGACGUUACACGAAGAAGAGGCACCGGCAAACUCCGU
This 489-nucleotide ribosomal RNA is filed under the name uncultured bacterium. Its description in RNAcentral is "partial 16S ribosomal RNA". It matches the Rfam family "Bacterial small subunit ribosomal RNA", at positions 30 to 506 of the family's 1533-position model. The record is from RNAcentral.